RNAcentral lists this ribosomal RNA (1516 nucleotides) under Phocaeicola vulgatus. RNAcentral describes it as "bacterial SSU rRNA". It matches the Rfam family "Bacterial small subunit ribosomal RNA". The record is from RNAcentral. Lineage: Bacteria; Pseudomonadati; Bacteroidota; Bacteroidia; Bacteroidales; Bacteroidaceae.
AGAGUUUGAUCCUGGCUCAGGAUGAACGCUAGCUACAGGCUUAACACAUGCAAGUCGAGGGGCAGCAUGGUCUUAGCUUGCUAAGGCCGAUGGCGACCGGCGCACGGGUGAGUAACACGUAUCCAACCUGCCGUCUACUCUUGGACAGCCUUCUGAAAGGAAGAUUAAUACAAGAUGGCAUCAUGAGUCCGCAUGUUCACAUGAUUAAAGGUAUUCCGGUAGACGAUGGGGAUGCGUUCCAUUAGAUAGUAGGCGGGGUAACGGCCCACCUAGUCUUCGAUGGAUAGGGGUUCUGAGAGGAAGGUCCCCCACAUUGGAACUGAGACACGGUCCAAACUCCUACGGGAGGCAGCAGUGAGGAAUAUUGGUCAAUGGGCGAGAGCCUGAACCAGCCAAGUAGCGUGAAGGAUGACUGCCCUAUGGGUUGUAAACUUCUUUUAUAAAGGAAUAAAGUCGGGUAUGGAUACCCGUUUGCAUGUACUUUAUGAAUAAGGAUCGGCUAACUCCGUGCCAGCAGCCGCGGUAAUACGGAGGAUCCGAGCGUUAUCCGGAUUUAUUGGGUUUAAAGGGAGCGUAGAUGGAUGUUUAAGUCAGUUGUGAAAGUUUGCGGCUCAACCGUAAAAUUGCAGUUGAUACUGGAUAUCUUGAGUGCAGUUGAGGCAGGCGGAAUUCGUGGUGUAGCGGUGAAAUGCUUAGAUAUCACGAAGAACUCCGAUUGCGAAGGCAGCCUGCUAAGCUGCAACUGACAUUGAGGCUCGAAAGUGUGGGUAUCAAACAGGAUUAGAUACCCUGGUAGUCCACACGGUAAACGAUGAAUACUCGCUGUUUGCGAUAUACUGCAAGCGGCCAAGCGAAAGCGUUAAGUAUUCCACCUGGGGAGUACGCCGGCAACGGUGAAACUCAAAGGAAUUGACGGGGGCCCGCACAAGCGGAGGAACAUGUGGUUUAAUUCGAUGAUACGCGAGGAACCUUACCCGGGCUUAAAUUGCAGAUGAAUUACGGUGAAAGCCGUAAGCCGCAAGGCAUCUGUGAAGGUGCUGCAUGGUUGUCGUCAGCUCGUGCCGUGAGGUGUCGGCUUAAGUGCCAUAACGAGCGCAACCCUUGUUGUCAGUUACUAACAGGUUCCGCUGAGGACUCUGACAAGACUGCCAUCGUAAGAUGUGAGGAAGGUGGGGAUGACGUCAAAUCAGCACGGCCCUUACGUCCGGGGCUACACACGUGUUACAAUGGGGGGUACAGAGGGCCGCUACCAUGCGAGUGGAUGCCAAUCCCAAAAACCUCUCUCAGUUCGGACUGGAGUCUGCAACCCGACUCCACGAAGCUGGAUUCGCUAGUAAUCGCGCAUCAGCCACGGCGCGGUGAAUACGUUCCCGGGCCUUGUACACACCGCCCGUCAAGCCAUGGGAGCCGGGGGUACCUGAAGUGCGUAACCGCGAGGAGCGCCCUAGGGUAAAACUGGUGACUGGGGCUAAGUCGUAACAAGGUAGCCGUACCGGAAGGUGCGGCUGGAACACCU